UGGGGAAUUUUGGACAAUGGGCGCAAGCCUGAUCCAGCCAUGCCGCGUGCGGGAAGAAGGCCUUCGGGUUGUAAACCGCUUUUGUCAGGGAAGAAAUCUUCUGAGUUAAUACCUCGGGAGGAUGACGGUACCUGAAGAAUAAGCACCGGCUAACUACGUGCCAGCAGCCGCGGUAAUACGUAGGGUGCAAGCGUUAAUCGGAAUUACUGGGCGUAAAGCGUGCGCAGGCGGUUUUGUAAGACAGAGGUGAAAUCCCCGGGCUCAACCUGGGAGCUGCCUUUGUGACUGCAAGGCUUGAGUGCGGCAGAGGGGGAUGGAAUUCCGCGUGUAGCAGUGAAAUGCGUAGAUAUGCGGAGGAACACCGAUGGCGAAGGCAAUCCCCUGGGCCUGCACUGACGCUCAUGCACGAAAGCGUGGGGAGCAAAACAGGAUUAGAUACCCUGGUAGUCCACGCCCUAAACGAUGUCAACUGGUUGUUGGGAAGGUUCCUUCUCAGUAACGUAGCUAACGCGUGAAGUUGACCGCCUGGGGAGUACGGCCGCAAGGUUGAAACUUAAAGGAAUUGACGGGGU
Molecule: ribosomal RNA, 572 nt
Filed under: uncultured bacterium
Lineage: Bacteria
Description: partial 16S ribosomal RNA
Rfam family: Bacterial small subunit ribosomal RNA
Source: RNAcentral